AAAAUAUUUAAUAUAUAGGCUAUUAAUCUACAGUAAUGUGUUUUAAUAGGUAUACCAUCAGGCAGAGACGACUCGAACCCUAAAGGUGGCAGUGAAGGUAAAAUACUAUUCCAUAGGAAAUUUGGAAACAGAAACAUCGGUAUUGUAAUGUUGUCAAUCAUGUCAAUGCUAAUAAUUACAGUUCCAUAAUGUGUAUGAUACAUCAGCUUUACUGCAGCAACAAGAAUGGCAAAGAAAUGCAAUCUUUAUGCUAUGCACUCGCAACUUAGUACAAGCAUGUUGCCAUCCUCAUUUAACUCGCUUCAUAGACAAUGCAGUAACUUCCAAUGUUCAGCAAACACGUCUAUGCAAAUUAGAUUGCAAUGGAUCACACCCAACCAUAGUAUUGGAAUCUCAGGAUGUUUACGUUUGAUUCAGACUCAGAUUAGUAUUGUCAUAACAAAAAAAAGUAGUAUGAACUUCCUUUCCCAAAUUGCAAAGUAAACACACAUAUUGAAAGACAAAUUGCACGAAAACAAUUAUAUAUAAAACUAGAAAUAAUUAUAAAAUAGACAUAGAUAAUCAAAGCCGGGCACUCAUUGUGUACGACCGUGUUGUCGGCCGAUGCGAUUCCAUAAAGAGCGCAACGCAACGACGCACGCAACGGAUCGUUUUUAAUGACCGAGAGUUAGCAAACGGCGUCGCGUCGUCUAUCGCUCACAGACAGCGGAGUUGGAUUCGUCGUGUGACGGUCGUACAACGCAGUGUAUGCCUGGCUUAACAGUGAAAGAAGAGUUAAAUUAGAGAAGUAUGAACAUUUAGGACUAAGGUUUUAUGUUUAUCUUUUAACUAUUGAAGAGGCGGAUGGCUGUCGGCAUAAAUUAAUUUCUGAAACUGUUUGUCCUGACUGGAGUGUGACGGAUUCUACCUGAACUGCUUGUGAUAAUAGUAUUAUGAAGGGGAUGAGUAUUUGUCAUGUAUAAUGUCCUUAAGUGUUCUAGUGAUAAAUUUAUCACAAAAUAAUCAAAUUGCUCGGCAUCCAUACCAAAAAUCUUACAAGCUAACAUAAUAAUCCCAGUGAGUUUUUCUAGACUUUCUUUGGAUAAUUCAAUAUACCAGACAUUACAGCAGAAUGAUGUGGCAGACUAGAUGACAGAAACAUAGGACAUAUUAAUAUUAGGUUUUUUGUUUCAAUGUGUACAUUACCAUGACGUUUUCCUCACUAAUAAUAUUACUACCCGGGAUCGGAAUUUAUUGUGACAUCACUUGCAUUAUUGUAACAAUUCAACUUUAAUAUAAAUUCAUAAAAAUGCAUUCCUUUACUGAUCUAAUACAAGAUCAGGCUCUGCUGAUUGGUAGUGGCUUAGGCUUAUUAAACGUUGCCAAACAUAA
This is a long non-coding RNA of Anneissia japonica, 1371 nucleotides long. RefSeq lists it as uncharacterized. NCBI's taxonomy places the organism in Eukaryota, Metazoa, Echinodermata, Crinoidea, Comatulida, Comatulidae. The record is from RefSeq and is a predicted model, not a curated record. The transcript is spliced from 3 exons.